Molecule: ribosomal RNA, 2122 nt
Filed under: Mediterraneibacter gnavus
Lineage: Bacteria; Bacillati; Bacillota; Clostridia; Lachnospirales; Lachnospiraceae
Description: partial 23S ribosomal RNA
Rfam family: Bacterial large subunit ribosomal RNA
Source: RNAcentral
GGUUAUGCUAAUAAGAGCGUAUGGUGGAUGCCUUGGCACUAAGAGCCGAUGAAAGACGUGAUAAGCUGCGAAAAGCUUCGGGGAGGAGCAAAUAUCCAUUGAUCCGGAGAUUUCUGAAUAGGGAAACCUACUUGAGAAAACCUCAAGUAUCCACAGCCCAAUCCAUAAGCUGUGGAAGGGAACCCGGUGAACUGAAACAUCUAAGUAGCCGGAGGAAGAGAAAACAACAUGUGAUUCCGUAAGUAGCGGCGAGCGAACGCGGAAGAGCCCAAACCGGAGUGCGUGCACUCCGGGGUUCGGACUGCAGAAUUGACGAGUGAGCCUAGUAGAAUGGUUUUGGGAAAGCCAGCCAGAGAGGGUGAAAGCCCCGUACACGAAAGGCAAGCAAGCAUGGCAGGAUCCAGAGUACCACGAGACACGUGAAACCUUGUGGGAACGCGCGGGGACCACCCCGUAAGGCUAAAUACUCCUUAGUGACCGAUAGCGCAUAGUACUGUGAAGGAAAGGUGAAAAGGACCCCGGGAGGGGAGUGAAAGAGAACCUGAAACCAUAUGUUUACAAGCUGUGGAACAUCUUUAUAUGAUGAACCGCGUACUUUUUGUAGAACGGUCCGGCGAGUUACGCUGGCUGGCGAGGUUAAGGGCUGAAGGCCUGGAGCCGAAGGGAAACCGAGUCUGAACAGGGCGAAAUAGUCAGUCGGAGUAGACCCGAAACCGGGUGAUCUAUCCAUGUCCAGGUUGAAGUUGCCGUAAAAGGCAAUGGAGGACCGAACCCACAUCCGUUGAAAAGGGUGGGGAUGAGGUGUGGAUAGGGGAGAAAUUCCAAUCGAACCCGGAGAUAGCUGGUUCUCCUCGAAAUAGCUUUAGGGCUAGCCUCAUGCAAGUCUUACGGAGGUAGAGCACUGAAUUCCUAAGGGGGCGUCAAAGCUUACCAAGGGAUAUCAAACUCCGAAUGCCGUGUAGAUGGUGCAUGGGAGUCAGACUAUCCGAGAUAAGUUGGGUAGUCAAAAGGGAAAGAGCCCAGACCUACAGCUAAGGUCCCAAAAUGUGUGUUAAGUGGAAAAGGAUGUGGGAUUUCGAAGACAACUAGGAUGUUGGCUUAGAAGCAGCCAUCCAUUAAAAGAGUGCGUAAUAGCUCACUAGUCGAGAGGUCCUGCGCCGAAAAUGUCCGGGGCUGAAACACACUACCGAAGCUUAGGAAUUGAUGAAUGUCAAUUGGUAGAGGAGCAUUCUUACCGAGACGAAGCUGUACCGGAAGGAGCAGUGGAUUGGUAAGAAGAGAGAAUGCCGGAAUGAGUAGCGAGAGGAAGGUGAGAAUCCUUCCGGCCGAAUAUCUAAGGUUUCCAGAGUAAAGCUGAUCUGCUCUGGGUAAGUCGGGGCCUAAGGCGAGGUCGAAAGACGUAGUCGAUGGAUAACAGGUAAAGAUUCCUGUACUAUAUCAUAACAGAACUGUGGGGACGCAGACAGAGAGCAUAAGCCGGGAAUGGAAAGACCGGUACAAGCGAGGUAGGAGUGCAUCAGGCAAAUCCGGUGCACAAUCUGAAGACGUGAUGUGGGGCGUAAAGCCAUAAGUAUGUGAGCUGGCUGCCAAGAAAAGCCGCUAUUGUUUAUGAUAUACCCGUACCGUAAACCGACACAGGUGGAUGAGGAGAGAAUCCUAAGGCCGACGGGAGAAGCAUUGUUAAGGAACUCGGCAAAAUGACUCCGUAACUUCGGGAGAAGGAGUGCCAUGUAAAAGUGGCCGCAGAGAAUUGGCCCAAGCAACUGUUUAGCAAAAACACAGGUCUAUGCAAAACCGAAAGGUGAGGUAUAUGGGCUGACGCCUGCCCGGUGCUGGAAGGUUAAGGGGAGAGGUUAGUCGUAAGGCGAAGCUUUGAACUUAAGCCCCAGUAAACGGCGGCCGUAACUAUAACGGUCCUAAGGUAGCGAAAUUCCUUGUCGGGUAAGUUCCGACCCGCACGAAAGGCGUAAUGAUUUGGGCACUGUCUCAACAAUGCACCCGGUGAAAUUGAAAUACCAGUGAAGAUGCUGGUUACCUGCGCCAGGACGGAAAGACCCCAUGGAGCUUUACUCCAGCUUGAUACUGGGAUUCGAUAUUGCAUGUACAGGAUAGGUGGGAGACU